AAUAGAUACCCAGGUAGUCCUGGCCCUAAACGAUGUCCACUAGAUCAUGGGACCUUUGACGGGUUUCAUGGUCGAAGCAAAAGUGCUAAGUGGACCGCCUGGGAAGUACGGUCGCAAGGCUAAAACUCAAAGGAAUUGACGGGGGGCUCACACAAGCGGUGGAGCAUGUGGUUUAAUUCGAAGCAACGCGCAGAACCUUACCUGGGCUUGACAUGCCAGGAUUAUCCUUGUGAAAGCAGGGUACAGCCCGCAAGGGCCGGAACUGGUACAGGUGCUGCAUGGCUGUCAUCAGCUCGUGUCGUGAGAUGUCGGGUUAAGUCCCUUAACGAGCGAAACCUUUGCCCUUAGUUACCAUCGGGUCAUGCCGGGGACUCUAAGGGGACUGCCGGUGUCAAACCGGAGGAAGGUGGAGAUGACGUCAAGUCCUCAUGGCCUUUAUGCCCAGGGCCACACACGUGCUACAAUGCGGCGCACAGAGCGAACCUAAACGCGAGUUCAUGGAAAUCGCAGAAAUCGCCGCCCAGUUCAG
RNAcentral lists this ribosomal RNA (529 nucleotides) under uncultured bacterium. RNAcentral describes it as "bacterial SSU rRNA". It matches the Rfam family "Bacterial small subunit ribosomal RNA", at positions 777 to 1296 of the family's 1533-position model. The record is from RNAcentral.